GACGAACUGUGCGAGCGUUGUCCGGAAUCACUGGGCGUAAAGGGCGCGUAGGCGGCCACGCACGUCCGUUGUGAAAUCGCCCGGCUCAACUGGGCGGGGUCAGCGGAUACGGUGUGGCUCGAGCAAGCUAGGGGGCAAUGGAAUUCCCGGUGUAGUGGUGGAAUGCGUAGAUAUCAGGAGGAACACCUGUGGUGUAGACGGCUUUCUGGACCGUAGCUGACGCUGAGACACGAAAGCGUGGGUAGCAAACAGG
RNAcentral lists this ribosomal RNA (253 nucleotides) under uncultured bacterium. RNAcentral's name for it is "partial 16S ribosomal RNA". It matches the Rfam family "Bacterial small subunit ribosomal RNA", at positions 524 to 776 of the family's 1533-position model. The record is from RNAcentral.